This 549-nucleotide ribosomal RNA is filed under the name uncultured Glomeromycotina. Its description in RNAcentral is "SSU rRNA". It matches the Rfam family "Eukaryotic small subunit ribosomal RNA", at positions 548 to 1098 of the family's 1831-position model. The record is from RNAcentral. Lineage: Eukaryota; Fungi; Glomeromycota.
UUGGAGGGCAAGUCUGGUGCCAGCAGCCGCGGUAAUUCCAGCUCCAAUAGCGUAUAUUAAAGUUGUUGCAGUUAAAAAGCUCGUAGUUGAAUUUCGGGGUUAGUAGGUUGGUCAUGCCUCUGGUAUGUACUGGUCUCACUGAUUCCUCCUUCCUGAUGAGCCGUAAUGCCAUUAAUUUGGUGUUGCGGGGAAUUUGGACUGUUACUUUGAAAAAAUUAGAGUGUUUAAAGCAAGCUAACGCUUGAAUACAUUAGCAUGGAAUAAUGAAAUAGGACGUUCGAUCCUAUUUUGUUGGUUUCUAGGAUUGACGCAAUGAUUAAUAGGGAUAGUUGGGGGCAUUAGUAUUCAAUUGUCAGAGGUGAAAUUCUUGGAUUUAUUGAAGACUAACUACUGCGAAAGCAUUUGCCAAGGAUGUUUUCAUUAAUCAAGAACGAAAGUUAGGGGAUCGAAGACGAUCAGAUACCGUCGUAGUCUUAACCAUAAACUAUGCCGACUAGGGAUCGGAUGAUGUUAAUUUUUUAAUGACUCAUUCGGCGCCUUACGGGAAAC